CAAGUAUAUCUAUCUAUUAUACUAAAGCAAAAUAAUGGUUUUCUCUUUGGCCAGAGAAUUGUGAUUUUGGGCGGCAAAUCAUUUUCCUCAUUUCUCAGCCAUUUUGUUAAAGCGCUGUUAUGUUCUUCAAUAUGGAAACUCCAAUCAAUUAGCAAUCAGUUGAAUUCUUCUCCAAUACGUUUCAAUCAAUCCUUAAAACCCUAAAACCUAAAUCACUGCCGUUAUCAAUUUUGGCGAUUUCACAUCAAAGGACGAAUUUCAUUCUGUGUUCAUAUUUCUUAUAUCAGUUUCCUCUUCAUUUGAUUUCAACAGAUCACAUCAAAUCGGAUCAAAUCGGAUCGGAUCGGAAGACUCUGUUGUACAGUGUUAACAAUGGUGAGAAUUCACAGCUUUCUCCUUUUGAUAAUUACGUUAUUGCAAAAUAUUAUUAUAUAAUGAGGAAUUUAGGAUCUGUAUGAUAAUUUUUGUAUACCUAGGGUUUUAUUUAGAGAGGAUACUUUGUUUCUGUAAUUGUUGUUUGAGGAUAUUGUAAAUUUUGCACUGAAAUUAUUGGUUUCAAUACUAGAUUCCAAUCCACAUAUUUUUAAAUUAGUUAAAUUAAAAUAAUUGCACUAUUAUUGUUAUUUUUGUAUUAAAAUGAAACUAGAUAAUAUAUAUAGCUCAAUCAAAGGUCAAGUUCAUAGCAUUUACCAGAUGUCAAUGGCAGCCACAUUGCUAGCACAUUUCUUUUUGUUCAUUGUCCUAUGCUUCUUCCUCCAAAUCCAUAGGAAAAAACCAGCAACCAAUAACAAUCUGCCACAUGGAAGCUUCGUAUGGCUGUUUUUAGGUGAAACCAUAGAGUUCGUCCGUACACAAAGACAUGGAGCCCUGGAGAAAUUCGUGAGAAAUAGAAUGGAGAGAUAUGGAAGUCCUAUGGUUUUCAAAACAUCGUUGCUCGGCCAACAUAUUGUUGUCUUUUGUGUGCCUGAGGGGAACAAGUUUUUGUUUGGAAACGAGAACAAACCGGUGGCGUCGUGGUGGCCUGAAGCAAUCCAGAUGCUGUUUUGUAAAUGCUUAAAUACAAGCCGCGGAGAUGAAGCCCUGUAUAUAUAUAUAUAUAUAUAUAUAUAUAUAUAUAUAUAUCCAUGCAAGAAACCAAUGGAUUAAGUGGUGGAUACGUAUUCGAGAUCUUGAUGUAUACAGAACUUGGAUUUUAUUCAACACUUUCCUAAAAGGGCUAGGGGAACUGCCUAUCAAUAUCCCAGGGACACGGUUUGUUUUUUGGUUUUGAAAUGAGGGGAUUUAAGAAAAAAUAUGAAUUGAAGCUUUGUUUUCUUGUGGUGUUGUUCAUCUGCUUACCGGUUAAAGUUUGUAAGUUUUGAUUAUUCUGUUUCAUUUUGUUACUUUGUUAUACUUAAGUUAAUGCGUUGGAUCUUUGUGUAGAUGUUUAAAUUGAGAUCUUUGGUUCAUUGUUGUUACUUUUGUAAAAGAUCGUUGGUUUAUUGCUGUUACCAGAUAAGGAAUACGAUCUGUACGUGGAUUUUGGAGAUGUAUGUCUAAACCAGCAUGGCAGCCGAAAGAUCGCCCGCUUGCUUGCAAACAAGCAAGAAGAAUCCAGCUAAAGUUCCUAAACGGAUUCACAAAGCUGAAAGGGAAAAAGUAAAGCGUGAACAUUUGAAUGAACUCUUUCUUGAGUUGGCUGGUGCACUUGAACUCACAGAACAAAACAGUGGGAAAGCCUCGGUAUUAGGCGAAACCACUCGAGUUGUAAAGGACAUGAUUGAUCAUUGAUGAAACGUGUACGCUACAAUAACAAAUCAGUGAACUACAGAGCAUGAUAAAAGAGAGAAAUGUCCAAACAAACCUUGAUCUGAAUGCACCCGCGAUCGAAUCGCAAGAACCGCAAUUCCCGACUUAUUUUCCAUUAGAGUGGCUGCAGUUGUAUACAUGGAUUGUGGAUUUAACUAACAACAUAUGUUGAUGGUAUGGCUUACGUUGACAAAAGUCUUCACAAUCUUCCUUCUGCAGUAGCUCCGGUUCAUUAAAGCGCAGCCGGGUGACAAGGUAUGGAAAAAGGCGGUACACACAUUGGAGUUGGCUACCUUAUGAAGAAUCUUACAUAAAGAGUUCAAUGGUAGAUCGGUUCUGGUGACGAAAAUGUUGGUUGUAAUAAAAGCGGAUUCGUUCAAUUUGGCUGAAAAAUAGCUUGAUGGUGUUACCGACGAUUGCAGACGUGGACAAUGAGAGGUUCUAGGGUGUUAAACGGAAUGCUGACGUCUCAAGAGUUGUGCAUGUCAAAUGAUUUUACUAAAGAGUAGGUUAUCGAUCUAAGGUUAGGGUUCAGAUCAUCGUUUUCAGCAGUUAAGGUAAACCUGACAUACUUGGCUAUCAUCGUUUUAUGCUUGUAAUUUUGUGUUUCGGAUUGUUUGGAAUAGUCUAUCUGGCGAAGGAAAGUAAUUCAGAUUGUUUAUUCGAAGUGAUUGUCUCCUUAUUGUGUUUUGAUGCAUCAAUAAGCUGUUUCGAGGGUGUUUGAAUUGGUUACUUAAACUUGCUUACAUGAUUAGUUGUGAGUGAGAUACGCUAUUUUGAACAUGUGGUUUGAAGUUGUGUAAUUCCAAACUGCUUAUUAUAGGCUGAUAAAGUGUUUUGAUAAGCAAUCCUUAACAUCUAUAGUGUUGAAAUGCCUAAACAACUGUGAACUAUUGUUUCCGGUGCAGUGGAUGGAUAAGGAAGAAAGACUCCUGAUUUGGGCUUCCAUGACUCCACAAAAGUAUGAUGUUGCAAAAAACAUUGAAAGAUUUGGGCAAACAUAAAUGUCAAUCGUCCAGCAAAAGCUUAUAGUGGAAUUUGUAAAGAUUCAAAGUGAUGGUACGCUGGAAGUGGAUUAACAUGCCAAAAGAGCUGGUUACUUCAGGCCUAUAGCGGGAUUAACAUGCCAAAAUACAUAUCGCAGCUGGUGAAGUCUUUCAAGUGGUUUAAGUACAAAAAAUUCAACAAGUUGAAGGCUGGGGCUGAUGUUACGACAAUGGUUCAGGUUAUACAGGGCUGUUAAUGGCCCAUGAAAGUUUUCGGUUCCUGUUGGAUAAGUGUGGUUGCGGGUUCGGUCUGUGGCAGUCUAAGUCUCACCUCUCAAGUGGUGCUUAUAAAAUCCUAUUUCAGCAAAGCCAGUGGGUGUGCCUUAAAGCCAGGGGCAGUUUCGUCUUUAUGGCCUGGGACAAUUUAUUUCCGGGUUUGAUGUUUGUUUUCUGGGGUUUCGCCAUGUCAUGUUGUGUGCUUCGAGUUUACCGUGAUGUCCCGAGUUUGCUGACUUGGUCCGAGUUGCGGCCAUGAUCCGGGGUUACGGCAGUGUUCUGGGUUUGCUGCCUUGUUCCGGGGUUGCUGUCAUGCUCCGGGAUUCCUGUCAGGUCCCGAGCCUUGUUUGGGUUAAUGUAGUGUUAUUCAAGGCCCAUUACAAUGGCCUUGUGCUAUUGCUUAUAGGAUAUUGCCGCGCUUUCGACUCAGGCAGGCUGCUGUUGAAGGCCCACCAGUUGGGUAGAGUGGUAUUCCGAUUGUGAUCAAACAGAAAGGUACAUGACUUAAAAUCACAUUUUGUCAUUCAGUUAUUUUAAUUGCAAGUUUUUUAGCCAUAUGUGUUUUUUUUUAAAUUUUGUAUGUGGGCAGAUAGUAAUCAGCUGCCACUCACAAAAUGGUGGUGGAUUGACAUUGACUUGAGAGAAAGUUUUUGUUAUGUCUUCUUGUGGCAGUGAACUAUAGCUUCUGCUGUGGUUGCUAUUCAUCGCUUAGUUUCAAAGUAAUAUGUAGGAUUUAGUUAAAAAUACUUACGCAUCUGAUUUAAAUCUUAUCAUUUGACCUGUGUCGGUUGCUUUUUUUGUUUGUACUUUGUAGUCCCACAUAAGUUGACAAUAUUUUGAAUGAAAAUUUGAAUAAUACGUCAUUACGGACAGAGUCUUCUAAGUUGAGGCGCAAAGCGCAAAAGCGAACUGACCGUAUGGUUCCGAUUUGCCGAUUUUCUCUCUAAAUUUCACCCAAUUUUUAAGUUCCUGCAAGUAAUUUAAUUGAUAUGGACGAGUUCUUACUCAAUCAUCACUCAUGUAUUCAUGUAUUGCAUACGUAAUACAUAAUAUUCGGACCUUCAAUUUUAAACCCAUAUGUAUUGAAUACAUGAAAGAUAUUGGAGUUUCUUUUCAACAAAGUUGUUGACUUGUCUCCAUGGUUUUAGAAAACGUUUGAGGCGUGCGCCUCUAGGCGCGCCUCGAGGCGAAACGGCCAAAAAACGAGUCUGAGGCGCGCCCCGAGGCGAAACGGCCAAACAAGAGCAAAGUUUAAACGAAGCCGAUUCUGAUACCGUAGAAGAUACGUAUUCCGAAACAGAAAUGGAACUGGAUUCAAACGACGACUUUGACCAAAACCAAAGGGUCAAAGCUGCACCAAAAGUUAUGUUUUGGUUCUUAGUUAUUCUGUACUCCCCUCAUUAGCUGCUAGCUAUGAGGUUUUAUUUUAGGAAUGUAGUUUCUUUUGGCUGGUAAAAAAAACAAAUAAAUAGAAGGAUUUGUUAUUGUAAUUCAUGCCUUAUAAGAACUUUGUUAUGAUAAGGCAUAUACCUUUAUCUCACCCGAACACAUUAUUAUCACAUGUUUUUCUUUUAACA
Long non-coding RNA from Helianthus annuus (common sunflower), 4627 nucleotides. RefSeq lists it as uncharacterized. The transcript is spliced from 7 exons. The record is from RefSeq and is a predicted model, not a curated record. NCBI's taxonomy places the organism in Eukaryota, Viridiplantae, Streptophyta, Magnoliopsida, Asterales, Asteraceae.